CUCACCCAAUUACCUUUCCUAGUAUAUCUUCAUCUUGUUAAAGUGUAUGAGAACUGCUUUGGAGAUUCUAAUAAGUCCAAAUGAGCAUUAAAAAGGAGAGAGAGUAGGAGAAGUAUCUCUUGAGAAAGGGACCUGACACAAAGACACUCCGCAGAGCCUGAGCCAAGAAAAUAUUUGGGAGUCAGCACACUUAAAACUGUACAUCUCUCAAGAGACACUUCGAACUAAUAUCCCUGAAAAUCCAUCAGCAGCCUUCCACUCUAUCACCUCUAAAUCUGAGGUCUCUGUUCCCUUUUUUUAAUGCACUAUCCAACUGCUAACAAUUUUACUCGAUCUAUUAGCUCUACCAACACCUCUAUUAAAAAGCAUCAAGUACCUUCA
This is a long non-coding RNA of Pan troglodytes (chimpanzee), 381 nucleotides long. RefSeq lists it as uncharacterized. NCBI's taxonomy places the organism in Eukaryota, Metazoa, Chordata, Mammalia, Primates, Hominidae. The record is from RefSeq and is a predicted model, not a curated record. The transcript is spliced from 2 exons.